Non-coding RNA from Oncorhynchus mykiss (rainbow trout), 1960 nucleotides. NCBI's taxonomy places the organism in Eukaryota, Metazoa, Chordata, Actinopteri, Salmoniformes, Salmonidae. The record is from RefSeq and is a predicted model, not a curated record.
UGGAGUUGUACUAUGAGCUGGCUGAGUGUAAAUACAAGGCUCUGAAUGUAAGCACCUUUUCACUGGAAACUUUCUUGUGUUCAAAUUAUCGUCAGUGUGAAAUAGCUACUUUUAUGAGAACGAUAAAUCAUGUGCAAUACCUGCGUCGACCUGUGAUGAGCAGUAAAACACCGGAAAGUUACAAGAAGAACAAGAAUGGUUACCUUAUCCGGUCAUGUGACAUUAAAUGUUGCAUACACAACAUGGAAUGUGUGGAUAUUUUUGUUGCAUUACUUGCGUAUAUUUGGAUAUCAUUUUAGCCACCUAAACAUUAGGAUAUAUUCCCCUUUUUCCUCUUUGCAUCUUCAAAGAAACGGGGGAGGUUACUAUGUGAAGGAAUGUGUUAGGAUUGGAAGUUUUCUCUUUGUUUCUUUUGAGAUGGUAUGGCCUCUGAGGACCCCCAAGACCAACUGGAUGAGGCUAUUAAAAAGCAGAACAGCUUGCUGAGGAGCUCAACCAAGAGAAGGACCCACAAGCCCAACUGGAUGAGGCCAUUAACGAGGCAAAAAGGCUGGCUGAGGAGCUCAACCCAAGUCGUACAUUACAAUGUAACAAGUCGUACAUUACCGGUAAUGUAACCCCUACAGCUCCCAUACGUGCAUAUAUAUUCUCAACACACCUCCAGCACCACAGCGUUAUGUUUUAUCAUUGCUUUUUGUUUGUCAAAGUAAACCCCACGUGGCACAAAUGUGAAUUUAAACGUAGACUCCGUGAUAUGACCUAAUCACAGGCAUCAAUGAUAUUGCCCAUUGAGCAUGAGGCACAAGGGUGCACUUGUUAGCAUCCUUGUGAACUUCUACACAUGUUAGCUGUGUGAGUGAGCCAGAACAUGGGUCUACUGCAGGUGCCUUUCCUCAGCUGACAAAUCACUUCACCUUAUGUGAAAAUCAAAGUCUUGCUUGUGGUCCAUAUGUACAGAAGCAAGCCAUGCUUGUGAGAGACUUUUAUUAGUGGGCCAGCCAGGAUAAUUGAAAUACACUUUUUAGGACAAUAAUAAGAAAAAGACAAACAAGCUUCCAGGGAUUAGGUUCAGAUGGAGACAAAGAUGAGCGAGGACAGAUUGUUCCUCAAACCAGGAAGGCAACUACAUCCACUUCUGUUGCUCCAAGGGCCAGUACAUCAAGAGCCAGACUAGUGCAACAUUUUGGGCCAGUCACUGAGGAGGAAGAAUCAGUGACAAGGACCAGUGGAUUGGAAUCCACUCCAGUUUUAAACAUUGAUGAAGAAAUAGGUAUGUUUAAAUUGUUUUACUUUCAAAAUUGGGGUCAUCUUGGUGUUACUGAAUUAUACUGCCCUACAUCUUUAUUUUGACAGUGGUGCAACAUUUUUAAAUGUGACUCAAGUCUCCAGAUUUUCAGACUUGAGAUCAAAUGUUUGAUAUGAGGUUACAGUACAGAAUGUCACCUUUCAUUUCAAGGUAUUUUCAGACUUUUCUGAUUUACCGUUUCGAAAUGAAAGCACUUUACAUGUCUAGUUGCAAGUAGUUUUAUUAGUCGUAUGUACAGGAUACUGAUGGUAACACCAUCCAACGAAAUGCUUACUUGCAGGUAGCUUCUCAACAAUGCAAUUCAAAAUGCUGGAGUAUAGAGACAAAUUCAACAUUUUAGCAUCAUGGUCCAAGUACUUCUGUAGGGUAGUGCAAUAACAACAUCCAUAUACUUCUGUAGGGGAGGGCAAUAACAACAUCCAUAUACUUCUGUAGGGGAGGGCAAUAACAACAUCCAUAUACUUCUGUAGGUGAGGGCAAUAACAACAUCCAUAUACUUCUGUAGGGGAGGGCAAUAACAACAUCCUUAUACUUCUGUAGGGGAGGGCAAUAACACCAUGUUGACUCAAAUGCUUCCCACAGUUGUGUCAAGUUGGCUGGAUGUCCUUUGGGUGGUGGACCAUUCUUGAUACACACGGGUAAAUGCGGGUCGUG